RNAcentral lists this transfer RNA (77 nucleotides) under Rhodospirillales bacterium. RNAcentral describes it as "tRNA-Pro". It matches the Rfam family "tRNA". From Rfam's summary of the family: Transfer RNA (tRNA) molecules are approximately 80 nucleotides in length. Their secondary structure includes four short double-helical elements and three loops (D, anti-codon, and T loops). The record is from RNAcentral. Lineage: Bacteria; Pseudomonadati; Pseudomonadota; Alphaproteobacteria; Rhodospirillales.
CGGGGCGUAGCUCAGCCUGGUAGAGCGCUGUGUUCGGGACGCAGAGGCCGUAGGUUCAAAUCCUAUCGCCCCGACCA